GACUCAAGCCUUGUUUCACACUAAAUUUGGUCUGCCAGACAUCCAAAAAAAGAUCACAUCAGUCAUUCUGCUUCAGAGCUGGUUUCUCAGCAUGGAAAAUUACAUUUCCUACAUGUAGCUAAUGCAUGAAAAGCUUGAAAGGUCAAAAAAUGAAGCCAUCAAUUUAUCACAAAAAGUAAAAUAUUUAUGGUAAAGAAGGAAGACAAAUUGCCCCCUCCUUAUUUCACUGCUGGAAUUGCCAGUUGAGAGCAAGAACAGUGCCCUUAGGGGGAAGAAUAACAAGAAAUGUUCCAGUGGUGUAAACACGCAUCCAGCCAACCCAAGGACCAACUCCAACUCGCUCAUCCCCACGUUGAAGCAUCCUACUGACUCCAGGCCUCAGGAAUCAAUGCCAGGCACUCACCUCCUCUGUAUUUAUUUCUAUAAAACACACACAACUUGUUGCUCAUAUUCAAGAAUAAAUUGUUCAGGGAGCAUAUCUACACAUAUGUAUUCUCAGGGAAGCAAUUUCUGCUGGUUUGGCUAGAUGAACUUCAGUACCACCUGCACAAGAAAUUCCUCUGUUCCCCCAUUCUCAGACAAACUUGAAGAAAUCCAGUUUUCACAAAAUUCAGAGGAGAAAAAUCGGAGCUGCUCCACAGAGUGACAAUCCACGGCUGCAGGAGCCAGGACACCAGCCAGCAGGCUGGAAAGCAAACAGCCCGCUGUCGGCAUCGCUGCUUCCCUGGAGAUCAUCACAUAUUCUACGGAAAUCUCCAAAGUAAAGGAGAAAAGCCCUGGUGAUGGAAUGAACCUGCCAGAUGAGGAAGCGUCUGGGCACACACCAUGGACAGGGAUUACUGCGGGACCCGCUGUUCAAAAGAACAAGCCUCCUCCGAAAGCAAGGCAGCAGCACAGACAAUGGUCCCUCCAAGGGCAGAGCUGCUAAGGAAUAAAGGCGCUGGUGG
RNAcentral lists this long non-coding RNA (947 nucleotides) under Cyanistes caeruleus (blue tit). RNAcentral describes it as "lncRNA (ENSCCEG00000020848.1)". Lineage: Eukaryota; Metazoa; Chordata; Aves; Passeriformes; Paridae. The record is from RNAcentral.